Molecule: ribosomal RNA, 721 nt
Filed under: Staphylococcus aureus
Lineage: Bacteria; Bacillati; Bacillota; Bacilli; Caryophanales; Staphylococcaceae
Description: partial 23S ribosomal RNA
Rfam family: Bacterial large subunit ribosomal RNA
Source: RNAcentral
GGGUAGCGGAGAAAUUCCAAUCGAACCUGGAGAUAGCUGGUUCUCUCCGAAAUAGCUUUAGGGCUAGCCUCAAGUGAUGAUUAUUGGAGGUAGAGCACUGUUUGGACGAGGGGCCCCUCUCGGGUUACCGAAUUCAGACAAACUCCGAAUGCCAAUUAAUUUAACUUGGGAGUCAGAACAUGGGUGAUAAGGUCCGUGUUCGAAAGGGAAACAGCCCAGACCACCAGCUAAGGUCCCAAAAUAUAUGUUAAGUGGAAAAGGAUGUGGCGUUGCCCAGACAACUAGGAUGUUGGCUUAGAAGCAGCCAUCAUUUAAAGAGUGCGUAAUAGCUCACUAGUCGAGUGACACUGCGCCGAAAAUGUACCGGGGCUAAACAUAUUACCGAAGCUGUGGAUUGUCCUUUGGACAAUGGUAGGAGAGCGUUCUAAGGGCGUUGAAGCAUGAUCGUAAGGACAUGUGGAGCGCUUAGAAGUGAGAAUGCCGGUGUGAGUAGCGAAAGACGGGUGAGAAUCCCGUCCACCGAUUGACUAAGGUUUCCAGAGGAAGGCUCGUCCGCUCUGGGUUAGUCGGGUCCUAAGCUGAGGCCGACAGGCGUAGGCGAUGGAUAACAGGUUGAUAUUCCUGUACCACCUAUAAUCGUUUUAAUCGAUGGGGGGACGCAGUAGGAUAGGCGAAGCGUGCGAUUGGAUUGCACGUCUAAGCAGUAAGGCUGAGUAUUAGG